RNAcentral lists this ribosomal RNA (477 nucleotides) under uncultured bacterium. RNAcentral's name for it is "bacterial SSU rRNA". It matches the Rfam family "Bacterial small subunit ribosomal RNA", at positions 365 to 832 of the family's 1533-position model. The record is from RNAcentral.
UUCGCAAUGCCCGAAAGGGUGACGAAGCGACGCCGCGUGUGGGAAGAAGGCCUUCGGGUUGUAAACCACUGUCGGGAGUUAAGAAAUGCAAGGAUAUGAAUAGUGUCUUUGCUUGACUAAGGCUCCGGAGGAAGCCACGGCUAACUCUGUGCCAGCAGCCGCGGUAAUACAGAGGCGGCAAGCGUUGUUCGGAAUUAUUGGGCGUAAAGAGCACGUAGGCGGCUAUGUAAGUCGGUUGUGAAAGCCUUCCGCUCAACGGAAGAACAGCAUCCGAUACUACAUGGCUUGAGUGCGGGAGGGGAGAGUGGAACCUCUGGUGGAGCGGUGAAAUGCGUAGAUAUCAGAAGGAACGCCGGCGGCGAAAGCGGCUCUCUGGCCCAUAACUGACGCUGAGUGUGCGAAAGCUAGGGGAGCAAACGGGAUUAGAUACCCCGGUAGUCCUAGCCGUAAACGAUGGGCACUAAGUAGAGGGGUUUU